Molecule: ribosomal RNA, 2757 nt
Filed under: Triticum aestivum (bread wheat)
Lineage: Eukaryota; Viridiplantae; Streptophyta; Magnoliopsida; Poales; Poaceae
Description: partial small subunit ribosomal RNA
Source: RNAcentral
AUGGGCAUUUUGCCGAUGAUGUUAUCUCUGCUGGUACUCGGGUCACUAGGAAAGCUAACAGCUCUGGCAUCCGGAGUUUUGACAAGCCAGCAGAGCCCUGAAGGGACCUGGGCGCGACCAUCUCGUGCCGGUUUCACGCUCGAUGGCUGCCCGACGAGCUGCGGCAGUGUGAGCUUCAGCUAUCCCUUUGGCAUCGGAUCCAGGUGCUCCCGUGGGCCUGACUUCAACCUCACUUGCAACGAUGCCACUCAUCCCCCCAUACUUUUUUUGUGUGACGGCAUCACCGAAGUGGUCAACUUUGGCGGUGAUUCUCAUUUUGAUUUAAACUCGAUCUGGGCCUCCUUCUCGCAUACCAUCCCCUUGAAAUCUGGUGUUAGUGCUUACAACUUGUCUUUCAAACCACCUGGGAGGUCCUUCCAUCUUUAUCCCUUUGUUCUAAACAUCAUUGGCUGCGACCUGGCGGUGUACUCUGUCAAAGAGAAUGCCAUCCAGCCGAUCUGCGCAACUGUGUGCCCAGAUCCAAAAAUUUCAGAGACGGUGGCUAUGCACAACUGUAAUGGUUUUGGCUGUUGUCGUGUAGACGUGCACAACUAUUCUGACAUUUAUCAGUUCAAAUUUGUCUAUGACCAUGACACAAAAAACACCAGAGCACACUCUAACUGGACCUCUGAAUUGUGGGAUAAAAUCAGCAUAAAUACUGACUACUUGAAGCUCUCAUGGGAUAUAGGGGAUCAACCCAAUACCGCCUGUGUUGCCUGUCUCGGCGACCAUGUCGAGUGCGAGGGCCACAUGCACGAUACACUAGAUAUGACAUCAAGAUAUCGCUACAACUGUGUGUGCCACGGCGGCUACACAGGCAACCCUUACAUUCCACAUGGCUGCUCCAGUAACGGCAAAGGGUAUAAUCCAACUCCGAGCAGGGCUGACUGUACCCGUUUGUGUGGUAACAUUAGUGUGCAAUUCCCAUUCGGCUUCGAAGCGGGUUGCUUUGCUAGGGAAGAGUUUCACCUCAACUGCACAAAUAUGACGUCAUCAGAUGCCCUGGUCAUGCUGGAGGAUAAGCAAGUCAUCGAUAUGAAUGUUGAUGAAGGGACCAUUAAUGUCACCAUUUCCGAGCAACAACAUUGGACCUCCAUAUCUGAACCCGAACGUAACCCUCUCUUUUUGCCAUAUGGUUUUUUUCUCUCCAUCAAAUGGGUUGCUGCUCAUCUAAGUUGCACAGAAGCCCAACGGAAUAGAUCUGGAUAUGCUUGUGUGAGUACCAACAGCAAGUGUGUGGAAGUAACUGCUGAAAGAAUCUAUGCUGGUUACCGCUGCAAAUGCUCAGAUGGCUUCCAAGGAAAUCCAUAUAUCCAAAGUGGUUGUCGAGAUAUUGAUGAAUGCCUUCAAGCGAACAGUUGUAAAGGGAUCUGCCAUAAUACCAAUGGAAGCUUCCGUUGUACUGAAUGUCCUCUCGAGACUGAGUAUGAUCCAUUAAAAAUGCAGUGUGCUAAGAUAAAACAACAACCUCUACUCUUAGGUAUGAUUAUUGGGCUGUCCUGUGGUUUCGGCAUUCUUCUUCUGAGCUUCACUGUAGUGUUUCUCACUCGCAGAUGGAAAAUAAAUGUUCAAAAGCAACUACGGAAGAACUAUUUCCGGAAGAACCAAGGUCUUCUCCUAGAAAUGUUGAUAUCAUCUGAUGAAACUGCAAAUGAGAAUACGAAGAUUUUCUCGUUAGAAGAGCUAGAGAAGGCAACAAACAACUUUGAUCCUACACGUAUCAUAGGUCGUGGGGGCCAUGGCAUGAUUUACAAAGGCAUAUUAUCUGAUCAGCGAGUUGUUGCAAUAAAAAUGUCUAAGGUCAUUGAGGAGUGUGAGAUCAGUCAAUUCAUCAAUGAGGUCGCAGUUCUCUCUCAGAUAAAUCAUAGAAAUAUUAUAAAGCUCUUCGGAUGUUGUCUCGAAACUGAGGUUCCGCUGCUAGUGUACGACUAUGUAUCCAGUGGCUCACUGUCUCAAGUUCUUCAUGCUGAUUCAAGUGAUGGUUUUUCUCUGUCUUGGAUUGAUUGCGUAAGGAUUGCCCUCGAAACAGCAGGAGCUCUAUCUUAUCUCCACUCUUCAGCUUCAAUAUCAAUCUUCCAUCGUGAUGUGAAGUCCUCGAAUAUACUCUUGGAUGUGAACUACACGGCUAAAGUUUCAGAUUUUGGCGCAUCUAGAUUGGUUCCAACUGAUCAAACACACAUUGUCACGAAUGUACAGGGUACAUUUGGGUACUUAGAUCCAGAGUAUUUCCAUACCAGACAGUUAAAUGAGAAGAGCGACGUGUACAGUUUCGGUGUGGUACUGGUGGAGUUGCUUCUCAGAAUGAAGCCUGUUUUUACAAGUGAAUCGGGCACGGUCAAGAGCCUGUCAAACUAUUUUCUCCAGGAAUUCAAAGAUGGAAAUAUCACAAGUAUUGUUGACUCUCAGGUCCUUGAGGAGGCAACCGAAGAAGAGAUCAACAGUGUGGCCUGUCUUGCAGAGGUGUGCUUAAGGCUACACGGUGAAGAAAGACCCACAAUGAAACAAGUGGAGACAGAACUGCAGACUCUGCGAACAAAACGGGUGAACUCAGGUCAAGCAGAUCCGAGAAAUGAAGAACGAAUGCUACCAGAGUCACAAACUCAAAUAAGAGCUACAGCUGCUCGCCAAUCGUCCAGGACGGAACUUGGCAAGAGAGAAAGCCGACGAUGCUAUAGCUUAGAGUGCGAGUUCAUGGCGUCUGCUAGUCUACCACGCUAG